Molecule: non-coding RNA, 722 nt
Organism: Gasterosteus aculeatus aculeatus (three-spined stickleback)
Lineage: Eukaryota; Metazoa; Chordata; Actinopteri; Perciformes; Gasterosteidae
Source: RefSeq, a predicted model, not a curated record
UUGCUCAUUCAUUCCUCCAUGAUGGGCCGGGCCUUGGAGGACUCAGCCCAGCUGUUCUGCAUGUGCUCUUUGGUGGAAGCCCAGAAGAAGUCAUGAUGAAAAUAUCAAGGACUGUGCUGACCUCGAUAUCCGCAAGACAGUCAAAGUGCUGGAGGGUACAGAAGAAUUGUCAUCUGAAGGAAAGAACAAUACUAAUGAGUUGUCACUGUCUUGGGAUUUGCCUCAAGUCACAUGUGAGAACAGAAGAUGCUGCUGGACAAGCUGAUGCUCCACGCAGAACUUGGAAGAAGCUCAAGACGGGUUAAACAGUUACGAAGGGGCUUAAAAGAGACGCUGAUCUGGCCUUUGCUAACUGAGAGGAGAGACACAAUUCCCCUCCUCUUUCCAAGAGCAUGUGAUGUACAGCGCACACCACAGGUCAGUGACCCCGUGAACUCACACUAGUGACUUUCUCAGAAAUGACAUGCGUUUUCUACUCUCAUGCAGACUUUGGUUAAAGUGAAGUUACUUACAAUAAACAGGAACCUUUUGGGAUCUGAAACGGGUUGCAGGGAAAUAAUCACAUUCAGCUUUUGAUCACUGGUUUCCUCCCUUUAAGUUAAACCUACAUCAAUGCAUAAGCAAGUACUGCUCAGACAUGGUUGUCCUGAAGUCUUUGCAAGUUGUGUUUCAUAGAAAUGAACUGACAGUAAUUGCUGCCUCAAAGGAAGGAAACCAAUUAA